This 7088-nucleotide long non-coding RNA is filed under the name Manihot esculenta (cassava). RNAcentral's name for it is "long non-coding RNA (MESC_LNC007568)". The record is from RNAcentral. Lineage: Eukaryota; Viridiplantae; Streptophyta; Magnoliopsida; Malpighiales; Euphorbiaceae.
CACGCUCUUCAUACUCUUCACAACACCUAACUUCAUAUUUCACACACUUCACACACUUUACACACUUUACACUUCACACACAAUUCACACACACUUCACACUUCACACUUCACACUCUUUGCACUUCACAUUUCACACUUCACACUCAUCACACUUGACACUCAUCACACUUGACACUUGACACUUCACACAUUUCACACUUCACACGUCACGCACUUGAACACUUUACACCCAUCACAAUUCACACUUCACACACUUCACACUUCCCCAAUUCCCGCACUUUGCACUUUGUCACACUUUGUCACAAUUCAAAUUUGUCAAACAUUUACACUUCACACAGCACACUUCACAUUUCACACUUUUCACACACUUCACAACAAGUGCUGAACAAAAUACUUACAAAACACUUCAAAAACACAUCUCAAGGACUUAACAAACAAUAACACUUAAAUAAACACUUAAAAAUCACACUUCACUAUUUACACCAAAACACCCAAACACAAACACUUAACCACUUCAAACCACUUCACCCUUCACACUACACACUUCAUACUUUAAAACAAAUACUUAAGCAUUUCAUACUGAAAUAAUUACUUUAACAUUCCACACAUGAACACAAACACACAAACACUUCACACUUGAACACUUAAUAGCUUAAAACAAACACCUUUAACACCUAAACACACAAACACACAAACACUUCACAAGUAAAUAAACACUUCACAAACAAUUACACUUAACUAACACAUAUAAAACACUUCACUAACAGUUAACAAACACUAACACUUAAAAAUUACACUUCACACUUAAAAAAAACACUUUAACACUUUAACGCUUAAACACACACUUUAACACUUAACACUUAAGCACACACUUUAGCACUUCACACUCAACACUUAACCACACACUUUAACACUUUAACGCUUAAACACACACUUUAACACUUAACACUUAAACACACACUUUAGCACUUCACACUCAACACAUAAACACACACUUAAACACUUAACACUUCAACACCUUAACACCUAAAUACCCAAACACCCAAAUACCCCAACACUAAUUGAUUUUAUAUGUACUAUUCCUAGAGAACUUACAUUUACAUUAUAAUAUAGGAAAGAGACUGAUUCAAGUAUAUAAUUUCUAUGAAUAAAAUUAUAUUUCAAAAACAUGUUUAAAUGCAAAACGAAAUUUAAAAAAUUAAAAAUUACAAAAAACCUUUAUCCUACCCCGCACUCUAAUAUAUAGAAGUAAGAAACUCUAUUACUUCAAUAAGAAUUAGAAAGCACCCGUCAAGUUUUGGCUUCAACUUCAUCUACUACCAAUAUAUUGUUGUGUAGUGCCAACUGUGCUUCUUCUAUCUGCAAACAAAAGAGUGAUUUAUGAGAAAAUAGAUAUCAACUGCAAAAUAAAGCUAGACCACUCAACUUGCAUCAUCAUAUGAAUUUAUAAAUACAUAUGCUUUUACCAACUCAAUAUGAUAAUUGACCUAGAACCUUGAUAAAUGGCAUGGACUCAAAAUCUCCUGCAAGCAUGAAAGUUGGUCGUAACAAACAGAAAAUUUUGAAAAUAAAUGUUACUGUCAUUUAUUAUAACUGUACCUAGAGUGUCAUCCAAUUCAAUGACACAUAUCUGCAGGUCCAGGCAUGCCUUCCACUGGUAUCAUUGUUACGCGUCCAAUCCACUUUUGAAUAGCAUCUAUAACGUGAGGAACAAUCUAUAGGUAGCAACAUUACACAAAGGCUAUUGCAAGCCACAAUAGCUGAUGGGUUCAAUAGUUAUUAAAUACCUGGACAGUUUUUUCAGAUAGUCUCCCCUUCUUUUCUUAUCUAUAACAUGCCAAAAGGAAAAAAAAUUAUUAAAAAGAAAUCAGCUAGCUGAUUAUUAUUUUUGAUUUCUCCUAGCAGCAGACACAAAAAUAAUCAAAAAAGAUGUGUAAGUUAAUCUCACCUAGUACAUUUUUUCAGUACUGAUAUUAUUGUCUCUUCUCAACUUGAUAUCCAAAAAAUUCAUAAUUUCUGAUGUCCAGGUUCACCUUUCAAACAACAAAAAAAAGUCAUUUUCUUCCUAACCUUUUAAGCAGUGAUACUUUCUAAACAAUAAUUAAUAGAGAUAAUAAAAGAAAUGAUAAUUAAAAAUUACUCGCCUUUUAGGAAAUAAGAAACUCCCACAUGUACAAAAUAAAAUCAAAAAAGCAUGUAAAAGAAAAUGAAUUCCAAACAGGAAAAAGUUAAUUAUGAUCAUAAAUUAGAAAAUUCACUUUUUGUAUAUGGAUUUCUCGAUAAUAUCAACAAAAAAAGACAAUUUUUUUUUCCUUUUACUUAAGAGUGGAGGAAGGAAGGAAUAGGAAGAGACCUAUUUAAUGAAAAUAACACGAAUACUAAAAAUCAACUACUAACUACUAACCACAAACUUACACACUUGUACACUUCAACAAACACUUGUACGUAACAAAAACUUAACAAAACGCUUCAAAAAUACUGCACAAAGACUUAACAAAUACUAACACUUAACAAACAAUAAAACUUAAAUAUCACAUUUCACACUUAACACCUAAACACACAAACACUUUAACAGUACACACUUCAAACCACUUCACACUACACAUUUCACACUUAAACAAACAUUUUAACACUUCACGCUUAAAUAAACACUAACUUUUAACACCUUAACACAAACACUUCACAUUUCACAAACACUACCAUUUACCAAACACUACAACUUAAACAUUACACUUCACACAUAAGUACUUCACACCCUUAGAGCUUAAUACAGUUAAAAAAAACGUAACAAAUACUUUACAAACACUUAACAAACUAACACCUAAGCAUCACACUUCACACCUUUACACUUUCACACUUAAACACAUAACAACUUAACACACAAAUACACUCACACACUUCACACUUAAGAAACACUAACACUUAAAUAUCAUACUUAACACUGCACGCUUUCACAAAUAAAUACUUAAACACCCAAACACUUAACACCUAACUUCACAUACUUCACACGCCUCACUAUUCACACUUAACAAACAAUAACACUUAAACAUCAUACUUUACACUGCACAUUUUCACACGUAAAUACCUAAACACUUAACACCUUAAUACCUAAACACCUAACUUAACACUUCACACACUUCACAAACUUCACACUCUUCACACUUCACACACUUCACACUCUUCACAACUCCUAACUUCACACUCUUCACACUUCACACAUCACACUUCACACUCUUCGCACUCCGCACUCUUCGCACUCCGCACACUCCGCACUCCGCACUCCGCUCCGCACUCCGCACGCCGCACGCCUUUCUCUCUCCAAAGCACUCUUCACAACACCUAACUUCAUACUUCACACACUUUACACUCUUCACACUCCGCACUCCGCACUCCGCACUCCGCACUCCGCACUCUUCACACUCUUCACAACACCUAACUUCAUACUUCACACACUUUACACUCUUCACACUUCACACUUCACACACAUCACACACACUUCACACUUCACACUUCUCACUCUUUACACUUCACAUUUCACACUUUACACUCGUCACACUUCACAAUUCACAAUUGGCACUUCACACACUCGAACACUUCAUACUCGUCACACUUCACACUUCACACUAUUCACACUUCCCGCACUUUGCACAUUGUCACACUUUGUCACACUUCACAUUUGUCACACACUUCACACUUCACACAUUUCACACACUUCACACUUUACACUUCACACAACACACUUCACACUUUUCACACACUUCACAAUAAGCGCAAAACAAAAUACUUACAAAACACUUCUCAAAGACCUAACAAACAAUAACACUUAAAUAAACACUUAAAAAUCACACUUCACGCUUUACACCAAACCACCCAAACACACAAACACUUAACCACUUCAAACCACUUCACCCUUCAUACUACACACUUCACACUUUAAAACAAAUACUUAAGCAUUUCAUACUUAAAUAAAUACACUAACAUUUAACACCUAAACACAAACACACAAACACUUCACACUUAAACACUUAAUAGCUCACCACAAACACCUAAACACACAAACAAUUACACUUAACAAACAAUUACAAAACACUUCACCAACAGUUAACAAACACUAACACUUAAAAAUUACACAUCACACUUAAAAAAAACACUUUAACACUUUAACACUUAAACACACACUUUAACACUUAACACCUAAGCACACACUUUAGCACUUCACACUCAACACAUAAACACACACUUUAACACUUAACGCUUCAAUACCUAAACACCUAAAUACCUAAACACCCAAACACCUCAACACUAAUUGAUUUUAGAUGUACUAUUCCUAGAGAACUUAUAUUUAUAUUAUAAUAUAGGAAAGAGACUUAUUCAAGUAUAUAAUUUCUAUGAAUAAAAUUAUAUUUCAAAAACAUGUUUAAAUGCAAAACGAAAUUUAAAAAUUUAAAAAUUACAAAAAAUCAUUAUCCUGCCACGCACUCUAAUAUAUAGAAAUAAGAAGCUCUUUUACUUCAAUAAAAAUUAGAAAGCACCCGUCAAGUUUUGGCUUCCUCUUCAUCUACUACCAAUAUAUUGUUGUGUAGUGCCAACUGUGCUUCUUCUAUCUGCAAACAAAAGAGUGAUUUAUGAGAAAACAGAGAUCAACUGCAAAAUAAAGCUAGAGCACUCAAUUUGCAUCAUCAUAUGAAUUUAUAAAUCCAUAUGCUCUUACCAACUCAAUAUGAUAAUUAACCUAGAACCUUGAUAAAUGGCAUGGAUUCAAAAUCUCCUGCAAGCAUAAAAGCUGAUCGUAACAAACAGAAAAUUUUGAAAAUAAAUGUUACUGUCAUUUAUUGUAACUGUACCUAGAGUGUCAUCCAAUUCAAUGACACAUAUCUGUAGGUCCAGACAUGCCUUCCACUGGUAUCAUUGUUACGCGUCCAAUCCACUUUUGAAUAGCAUCUAUAACAUGAGGAACAAUCUAUAGGUAGCAACAUUACACAAAGGCUAUUGCAAGCCACAAUAGCUUAUGGGUACAACAGUUAUUAAAUAUCUGGAGAGUUUUUGUCAGAUAGUCUCCCCUUCUUUUCUUAUCUAUAACAUGCCAAACGGGAAAAAAAUUAUUAAAAAGAAAUCAGCUAGCUGAUUAUUCUUUUUGGUUUCUCCUAGUAGGAGACACAAAAAUAAUCAAAAGAGAUGUGCAAGUUAAUCUCACCUGGUAAAUUUUUCCAGUACUGAUAUUAUUGUCUCUUCUCAACUUGAUAUCCAGAAAAUUCAUAAUUUCUGAUGUCCAGGUUCACCUUUCAAACAACAGGAAAAAGUUAAUUAUGAUCAUAAAUUGGAAAAUUCACCUUUUGUAUAUAGAUUUCUCCGUAAUAUCAACAAAAAAAAAAAUUUUUUUUACUUUUACUUAAAAGAGGAGGAAGAAAGGAAGAGGAAGAGACCUAUUUGAUUAAAAUAACACGAAUACUAAAAAUCAACUACUAACUACUAACCACAAACUCUUAACCCUAACCAUAACCUUAACCAUAUACUAACCCUAACACUUCACAAACACUUAACAAACACUUCAAAAACACUAAACAAACAAUAAACACUUGAACAUUAUACGUAAACUUCAUACUUAAGUGUUUGUACAAAUACUUAAAAAACAAUUAACAAAUACUUUAACAAACACUUCACAAACACUUAACAAACACUAACAUUUAAGCAUCACACUUCACACUUAAACACUAAACACCUUAACACCUUAACACACAAACAUACUCACACGCUUCAAACUUAACAAACAUUAACACUUAAACAUUACACUUUAUACUUUCACACUUAAACAAUUAAACAUUUAACACUUAAACACAAAAAAAAAAAGUUACACACUUGUACACUUCAACAAACACUUAUACCUAACAAAAACUUAACAAAACACUUCAAAAAUACUGCACAAGGACUUAACAAAUACUAACACUUAACAAACAGUAACACUUAAAUAUCACACUUCACCCUUAACACCUAAACACACAAACACUUUAACAGUACACACUUCAAACCACUUCACACUUAAAUAAACAUUUUAACACUUCACACUUAAAUAAACACUUUAACUUUUAACACCUUAACACAAACACUUCACACUUCACAAACAGUACCAUAUACCAAACACUACAACUUAAACAUCACACUUCACACAUAAGUGCUUAACACCUUAAGAGCUUAAUACACUUAAAAAAAACGUAACAAAUACUUCACAAACACUUAACAAACAAACACCUAAGCAUCAAACUUCACACUUCACACCUUCACACUUAAACACUUAACACCCUAACACACAAAUACACUCACACACUUCACACUUAAAAAACACUAACACUUAAACAUCACACUUCACACUACACGCUUUCACACAUAAACACUUAAACACCUAAACAAUUAACACCUUAACACCUAACUUCACAUACUUCACACGCAUCACACACUUCACAUUUCACACUUAAGAAACAAUAACACUUAAACAUCACACUUCACACUGCACAUUUUCACACGUAAACACCUAAACACUUAACACCUUAACACCUAAACACCAAACUUAACACUUCACACACUUCAUAAACUUCACACUCUUCACACUCUUCACACUUCACACACUUCACACUCUUCACAACACCUAACUUCACACUUCACACACUUCACACUUCAUACUACACUUCACACACAAUUCACACACUCUUCGCACUUCACACACUCUUCGCACUUCACACUCGUCACACUUCACACUUCACACUUCACACUUCACACUCGUCACACUUCACACUCGUCACACUUCACAUUUCACACUCGUCACACUUCACACUUCACACUUCACACUCGUCACACUUCACACUCUUCACACAUCACACUUCAUACUUCACACAACACACACUUCACACUUCACACUCUUCAUACUCUUCACAACACCUAACUUCAUACUUCACACACUUCACACUCUUCACACACUUCACACAUCACACACUUCACACAACACUUCACACACAAUUCACACACACUUCACAUUUCUUACUUCUCACUCUUUGUACUUCACAUUUCACACUUCACACUCGUCACACUUCACAC